CCUGGCUCAGAUUGAACGCUGGCGGCAUGCUUUACACAUGCAAGUCGAACGGCAGCACGGGUGCUUGCACCUGGUGGCGAGUGGCGGACGGGUGAGUAAUGCAUCGGAACGUGUCCUAAAGUGGGGGAUAACGCAUCGAAAGAUGUGCUAAUACCGCAUAUUCUCUGAGGAGGAAAGUAGGGGAUCGAAAGACCUUAUGCUUUUGGAGCGGCCGAUGUCUGAUUAGCUAGUUGGUAGGGUAAUGGCUUACCAAGGCGACGAUCAGUAGUUGGUCUGAGAGGACGACCAGCCACACUGGGACUGAGACACGGCCCAGACUCCUACGGGAGGCAGCAGUGGGGAAUUUUGGACAAUGGCGCAAGCCUGAUCCAGCAAUGCCGCGUGAGUGAAGAAGGCCUGG
This 400-nucleotide ribosomal RNA is filed under the name uncultured bacterium. Its description in RNAcentral is "bacterial SSU rRNA". It matches the Rfam family "Bacterial small subunit ribosomal RNA", at positions 18 to 419 of the family's 1533-position model. The record is from RNAcentral.